Molecule: long non-coding RNA, 702 nt
Organism: Neofelis nebulosa (Clouded leopard)
Lineage: Eukaryota; Metazoa; Chordata; Mammalia; Carnivora; Felidae
Exons: 4
Source: RefSeq, a predicted model, not a curated record
GCAAAACCCUGAAAGACGGUGAGGGAGUAAGUCCUGUAGAUAUCUGGAGAAAAACAUUCCAGGCAGAGGAGAAAGGUCGUGCAGAGGUCCUGGUGCAGGAGCAGGUUGGAUCUGAUUGAAGGACAGUAAGGAGGCCAGUGGGGUUAAAGCAAUGGAAGGGGAGGAGCUGGAAAUGGAAAUCAGAGAGGCAGCCAGUCCCGGAAGGGAUCAUGGAGGUGCUUGAGGGCCACGUGAGGGCUUUACUCUGAGGGAAAUGAGGAGCUGCCGCAGGGAUUUGAGCUCCAAAGUGACAAGAUCUGGGCCACCCUUUCCUCGCUAAAGGGUGUAAUUGUAGAAAGUGAUGGCGGAGGAGGCUGCUGCUUGAGGCCAUGAGAUUUAAGAAAAAGCAUAAUACUGGUUCCAAACCACUAAAAUGACCUCAUGUCCCACCGACAGAUCACAGUUUGCAGUUUGGAAAACACUACUCCAAGGCAGAAAUUAUGGACAUCCCCAGAACAGGGACCCAAAUGCAGUGUCUACACCGGGAACCUCACUGGCAAAGCCACAAGAAGGAUGAGGAGGAAGGAGAGAAACAUCAAAGCACCUGAAGGAAUCACCUAGGGGGAAGUUUCCAGCCACUCCUUUCAGGACUGACGUGGCAUGAAAGGGCCAGGCUGACCAGGAGGCCCAUGUAGGACUAACAGAGAGCAGGAGAAGCUGAGG